RNAcentral lists this ribosomal RNA (374 nucleotides) under uncultured organism. Its description in RNAcentral is "partial 16S ribosomal RNA". It matches the Rfam family "Bacterial small subunit ribosomal RNA", at positions 527 to 896 of the family's 1533-position model. The record is from RNAcentral.
GGAGGGUGCAAGCGUUGCUCGGAAUUACUGGGCGUAAAGGGCGUGUAGGCGGUCUAAGCAGUCCGGUGUGAAAGCCCUCGGGCUCAACCGAGGAAGUGCGCCGGAAACCAUUAGACUAGAGAACCCGGAGGGGAGCGUGGAAUUCCCAGUGUAGAGGUGAAAUUCGUAGAGAUUGGGAGGAAUACCGGUGGCGAAGGCGACGCUCUGGAUGGUUUCUGACGCUGAGACGCGACAGCGUGGGUAGCAAACAGGAUUAGAUACCCUGGUAGUCCACGCCGUAAACGAUGGAUACUAGGUGUUGGGAGAUUUGACCCUCUCAGUGCCGACGCAAACGCAUUAAGUAUCCCGCCUGGGAAGUACGGUCGCAAAGGCUG